UUGGCGGUUUAUUAAACCAACUUUACACAGGCUACUGUUUGGGCCGUAGCACACGCCAAAAAGAUGACAGAUAACCCACAAGCCAAUCGUGACCUUCUCUUGGGAAGCCCAGACGUAAGAGAGGGAGAACAAAGGCUGAACCUGGUCUUAACUUCCAAUGCUCCACCCCCCUGCCCAACCCCCCUCCACGCCACUCCGCCAACCACCAGGAUGCCCGGCAUCAGAACAUUCCAGGCAUUCCCGUGAUUGGCAGAUAGCAGGUUGAUUGACAUGUCGGACCCCGCGAACACCGGGUACUGGUCAGUACAACACAACCACCUCCUAGCCUAACACAUAACACACAGCUGUCUGUGCGGGUCGCUACAACAUAAUGAUCUUUGGGGUUAAAAUCACUGCGGUGGUGUUUUAUAAUUGUAUACCAUGGUGUCAUUUCAUUAGCAGAAAUGGUUCACAAUGAUUGACCUUAAUUGCUGAUCUUACUGAAAGGUGGUUGGACGUAUCUGCUGGUCUGAAGAUCAGGAGUUUGGACCUGACGCUGGUGUUUGAGUACAGAGACCAGGACCUGUCUACCUUCCUCACCAUGGUCCCCAGCACUGGACUGAGUCUUGACAAAAUUAAGAUGUCCUCAUAUCUUGUCAGAAUAAGCCACAGUCAGAGAAAGUGGUUGAGCAUUGCUGUCAUGCUGCUCCCUAUCUGUACAUGUGGUGCUGCAGCUGCUGCAGGGGCUGGACUUCCUGCACACCAACAUGCUGGUGCACUGCGAUCUGAAGCCGGAAAAUGUACUGGUGGUGACACUGUGGUACUGGGGCCCCUGAGGUGCUGCUCCACUCUGGUUAUAUGUCCUCCGUGGACAUGUGGAGCGCCGGCUACAUUUUUACCAAACUAUUCCUUUUGAUACCAUUGUUCUGUGGAGACGCUGAGGCUCAGCAGCUCCAGAACAUCUUUGAGUGAAUUUUUUUCUUCUACCGUGCCCUACUUUUGAUUGGUCGUUAAUGAUAAAAGCAUUUGAAUAAUGUAUGAGUUGUGUUUUACCAGUGCCUUGUGUUGGGGUUGUGUCUGUGCUCUUUCCCAUGUCCCACAGGGUGAUUGGCUUGCCCAGCGAGGAGGACUGGCCCAGGGAGAGCCCCAUCUCCUACACCUGUAGUUGGUGUCCCAGAGACUCCUGCACCCAGCUCUUAUCCAACCUGGGCCAGGAGGAGAACAACCUGCUCCUUAGUUCAGCCCGGCCAAUCGCAUCUCAGAGCUUCCAGAGCCCUCUCGCACCCUUUACUGGUGUGCGCCUGAGUACUCACAACCUGGCACGAUGUGGAGAGAAGAGGGGAGAGCUGGGACAGAGGUUCAUUCCUAGCCUAUAGAACACUGAGGCUUCCCGUGCCGCAAGAUGUGAUGUACCUUUAUCAAAAUGUAGAAUUUUGGAAUGGAAAUAAAACGUUAGUGAAAAUAUUUAAAAGGUAAAUCUGCAGGUUAAGCAAUAAAGUGGGCAUCCUGCCACUGUUUUGGUAAAAAGAAAGUUGAGGGGUGGAAAAAUUGAAUCUCAAAUUCAUAGACAGAGCUAAGGAUGCAAAGACUGACCAUGCAUGAUAUCAAAAUUAUAGAUUUAACCAUGUUUAAAGCUAUAUAGUGUUUGUUUACAAUUACCUUAUUUACA
Long non-coding RNA from Oncorhynchus masou masou (cherry salmon), 1648 nucleotides. RefSeq lists it as uncharacterized. The record is from RefSeq and is a predicted model, not a curated record. Lineage: Eukaryota; Metazoa; Chordata; Actinopteri; Salmoniformes; Salmonidae. The transcript has 4 exons.